RNAcentral lists this transfer RNA (69 nucleotides) under Ceratomantis saussurii. RNAcentral describes it as "tRNA-Phe". Lineage: Eukaryota; Metazoa; Arthropoda; Insecta; Mantodea; Hymenopodidae. The record is from RNAcentral.
AUUCAAAUAUCUUAUAAAUAGAGAGUAUAACAUUGAAGCUGUUAUUGAGAUAAUUAUUAUCUUUGAAUA